Molecule: signal recognition particle RNA, 99 nt
Filed under: Prevotella sp.
Lineage: Bacteria; Pseudomonadati; Bacteroidota; Bacteroidia; Bacteroidales; Prevotellaceae
Also listed under: 1 other name
Description: signal recognition particle sRNA small type
Rfam family: Bacteroidales small SRP
About the family: The non-coding component of the signal recognition particle in Bacteroides
Source: RNAcentral
GGGUAAGUCCUACACGGCCAGCUCCCCGCCAACUCCGUCAGAUCUUGACCGAAGCAGCGGUAACGGGUUGAGCGGCGCGAUGUAGAUAGCUUACCCUUU